AUACGGAGGAUGCGAGCGUUAUCCGGAUUUAUUGGGUUUAAAGGGUGCGUAGGCUGUGCGUUAAGUCAGGGGUGAAAUGCCGUCGCUCAACGACGGAGCUGCCCUUGAUACUGGCGUGCUGGAGUACGGAUGCCGUUGGAGGAAUGAGUGGUGUAGCGGUGAAAUGCUUAGAUAUCACUCAGAACACCGAUUGCGAAGGCAUCUGACGAAUCCGUCACUGACGCUGAGGCACGAAAGCGUGGGGAUAGAACAGGAUUAGAUACCCUGGUAUUCCACGCCGUAAACGAUGAUGACUAACCGUCGGCGAUAGACAGCCGGCGGCCAAGCGAAAGCGAUAAGUCAUCCACCUGGGGAGUACGUCGGCAACGAUGAAACUCAAAGGAAUUGACGGGG
RNAcentral lists this ribosomal RNA (393 nucleotides) under uncultured bacterium. RNAcentral describes it as "partial 16S ribosomal RNA". It matches the Rfam family "Bacterial small subunit ribosomal RNA", at positions 523 to 918 of the family's 1533-position model. The record is from RNAcentral.